RNAcentral lists this ribosomal RNA (404 nucleotides) under uncultured Lachnospiraceae bacterium. Its description in RNAcentral is "partial 16S ribosomal RNA". The record is from RNAcentral. Lineage: Bacteria; Bacillati; Bacillota; Clostridia; Lachnospirales; Lachnospiraceae.
CACGUAGUUAGCCGGGGCUUCUUAGUCAGGUACCGUCAUUUCUUUCUUCCCUGCUGAUAGAGCUUUACAUACCGAAAUACUUCUUCACUCACGCGGCGUCGCUGGAUCAGGGUUCCCCCCAUUGUCCAAUAUUCCUCACUGCUGCCUCCCGUAGGAGUUUGGGCCGUGUCUCAGUCCCAAUGUGGCCGUUCACCCUCUCAGGCCGGCUACUGAUCGUCGCCUUGGUGGGCCGUUACCCCACAACAAGCUAAUCAGACGCGGGUCCAUCUUACACCACCGGAGUUUUUAAGGAAAGACAUGCAUCUUCUCCUGUUAUGCGUAUUAGCACCUAUUCUAAGUGUUAUCCCCUAGUCGUAAGGCAGGUUACCCGACGUCGUUACCUUACACCCGUCCCGCCGACCUAA